AAAACCCUGAAAAUUCUCAGUUCAAAGAAAUACAAGAGCAAGAAGAACAAUGAAAUAAAGGGAAAGCAGACAGCGAGAGAGAGGGAGAGACAUCUUUUAACAGAGUAAAUGUUUGCUGCGAGGAACUUUAACAGGCACUGCUUUAGGACGCUCUCUUCUCUCUUAUCCAAAUCUUACAGAAAUGCCGUCUUAGUAAAGGAUGUAGGUCGAAAGCUCGCUUGUAUCAACCUGAUGCAACCAAAUAUUAUUUCUGAAGAUGGGUUUCCUUCAUUUUCCCUAUUGAAUCAUCCCUUCAAUACUGGGGGUUGCCGCGGCAUGUCUACUUCGAAAGGAAGGAGCAUGAGAAGCAGGGUGGAGAGGCGGAUGCAAAAAGAAUCUGGUAAAACAGUUAGAGAGAUUCGGAGAGCAAAAAAAUUGAAGAAGAAAUUGAUGACUGAUGAGGAGAGGCUCAUUUACAACCUUAAGAGAGCUAAGAAGAAAGUUGCAUUGCUCCUACAAAAGCUCAAGAAAUAUGAGUUACCAGAGCUGGCACCCCCUGUACAUGACCCUGAGCUGUUGACACCAGAGCAGCUUCAGGCAUAUAAGAAGAUUGGAUUCAAGAAUAAAAAUUAUGUUCCUGUCGGUGUUCGUGGAGUGUUUGGAGGUGUUGUCCAGAAUAUGCAUCUUCAUUGGAAGUUUCAUGAGACUGUGCAAGUAUGCUGUGACAACUUCCCAAAAGAAAAAAUAAAAGAAAUGGCCACCAUGCUAGCAAGACUGAGUGGAGGCAUUGUAAUAAACAUUCAUAAUGUGAAGACAAUUAUCAUGUUCCGUGGCAGAAAUUAUCGCCAACCAAAAAUUUUGAUACCUAUUAACACACUCACAAAAAGGAAGGUUAGUGAUCAUAUUUUUCUUUCUCUUGGUUUAUUUUAGCCUCUUUUUGAACGGAUUUUACAAAAUGGGAGAUUGCACUUUGCACUCUAUUGCAUGCUACCUCAUUGGCAUUGAACAUAAUUGUGGUUUCCUCAUUGGGAUUGGAAAUUUGGAAUAGCUGGCAGCUGAGUUCUGUUAAAAAAAACAAAGGAAAGGAAAUAGGAUCCCAAUGUUAAAUUGUGAUCAUACAUCCUUGGGAUAGAUGGACCGAGGGUGAGAGUGUCUGGAAAAUUGCAUGUGGUUCUGAUAAAUGUUGUGCUAUUAUUUAUAGGAUUUUGUUUGUCCAUGGACACUAUAAUUUAGAUGUAGGCUUAUUCCUUCUGCUUCAAAGCUAGUCCUAUUUAAGUUUGUGGAUUAUGACAUGCUGAUAAGUUUUGUAGGCAUUAUUUAAAGCCAGAUUUGAGCAAGCUCUUGAAUCACAGAAGUUAAACAUCAAGAAAAUAGAGCAGCAGCUCCGUCGAAUGGGUAUAAACCCAGAGGAUCCAGUUGCCAUGGCUAGCAUCCAGAGAGUGGCUUCCACAUUCUUCAAUGCUAUUGACAAGAAGGAAGGAAGUCCUUAUGUCUUUCAAGGGGACCAACAGCCAGUAGUGCAUCUGAUUGAUAAUUUGGAACAUCCAGAACCCCUUGCUGAUAGUGACCAGGAGGACUUGGACAAGUUUAUAGCUGAAAUAGAGGAUGCAGCAGAUAGAGAGUGGGCUGCAGAGGAAGCUGCAGAGAAAGAAGAAUUGAGCAAGAUUAGGUAUUGGAAUAAAGAAGAUUUUGGUGGAAGGAUUAGAAGAUCAGAAAUGCAUAGAAAUGAAGUUUCUGAUGGAAGGCGCUGGAAGGGUGUGCAUGAGAAGAAGAGUGCUGAUAGAGAUGAUGAUAGUGACAUGUCUGAGGACAAUGGUCAGUGGGAUUCUGAUGAUGUUGGUGAUGAUCUUGGGAGUGAUGCUGAUGAUUCCAAUGAAGCUCACCGUGUUCACAGUAGAACUAGAGAUUUUCACAGGAAACUCGAUGGGGUUGGUAAAGUCUAUAAUUUUAAGGGUUCCAGAAGAAAUGCAGGGGCUAAAUUUGAAGAAAAAUUAGUUGAAGAAUGUUCUGAAUCGGAGAAUAUGUUAAGUGACCUUGACAAUGCAAUAAUGCACGAAUCAGAUUCUGAGGAAGAACGCGAAUUGAGAGAAUCAAGAGAAGAGGCAAGCCACAGCUUUCAGAGCAAGGGACAUAAAUCAGAAGAUAUGUUGAGUGAUCUUGACAAUGCAAUGUGGGAAUCAAAUUCUGAGCAAGAAGAACAUGACUUUAGAGCAUCAAGCACAGAAGCAAGUCACAAUUUCCAGAGCAGCAGUGAUGAAGAAAAGGAUAUUUAUGUUUAUCCCAUGAUCAGAAAUGAGACUGGGGUGGAUGAUCUUGAGAAUGAUACCAAUGAAAAUGGUGAGGUGCUCAAUGAAUUAAAAGCAUCUAAAAUUCCUGGGAGGAAAUUGGAAAGGAUUAGCUCUUUCAGGACAAAUGCUAAAGAUAAUUCUAUGAGAAAGAUGGCGUGGGAAGAUUCUGGAUCUGAAGAUUCGUUUAACAAUUCAGAAGUUGCUGUGUGGGAAUCAGAUACUGAAGAAGAAGAAUUCAGAGCAGGCAAUGAAGGGAAACAUAGUUAUGUGGCCAGAGAUGAAAAUGAGGAUUUUCGCCAGAAGCAGGUAGUGAAUCAUAAAAAGACAUCAAAAGAGGUGGAUGAGAAUUGGGACAGUGAAUAGCUCUGUACUUUGGGGAGUCACAUUUCUUCCAUGUCAAGCCACUCAAGAUGAGUAAAUUAAUCCAUUUUUUUUUUAAUAAUUGAAAGCAGAGUCUAUUUUACUUGAACUUCCCAAUGUCUUGAGAUUUUUGCAUACUUGCAUCUUUUAGGGAAGAAAGCAAUACAGAAGGUGCAGUAGCCUGUGAAAAAAAAAAAAGAAAAACAAAAACAAAAACAAAAACAGAAACAAAAAUACAUAAUCAAUGUGCAAAUGUGCUAUUCGAAAAUUUCAGCUUUUGCAACAUGAAUCAGUAAUAAACUUGCAAAGAAAAUUGAAACAAUAAGCAUUAGAAAAACACUGUUCCAUCCUCUUGUGGAAAUAUACCCAGCCAAAAGUGGGCCAAUAGCUGCUGCUCCAACAGAACCAGUACCAUCUAUAAUUGCAGUGACAGUAGCCAAGGCAUGGGAAUUUCCUCUGAUCAAAUCCUGUGUACCAAGAUCAGCUGCUACAGCCGUAGUGAUUAAUAAGUAAGGGCCAUUCACAAGAAAACCAGAAAGAAGCAUCAACGCAACGUUCAUUAUCAUAGACAGGCUCCCAUAAACCCGGUACAAAAUAAAGGCUGGAAUUGAUAGCAGCAAGAAUACAAUUGAAGUAACUGCACGAGCCUCAAUCAUAUCAGAUAUAUAUCCAGCUGAAAUUCCUCCGAAGACUCCUUCAAUGUCAAAUACUGUAGAGAGCAUUCCAGCAGUUUUGUGUGACAAAUGC
RNAcentral lists this unclassified non-coding RNA (3374 nucleotides) under Hevea brasiliensis (rubber tree). Lineage: Eukaryota; Viridiplantae; Streptophyta; Magnoliopsida; Malpighiales; Euphorbiaceae. The record is from RNAcentral.